Molecule: long non-coding RNA, 1820 nt
Organism: Ziziphus jujuba (common jujube)
Lineage: Eukaryota; Viridiplantae; Streptophyta; Magnoliopsida; Rosales; Rhamnaceae
Exons: 3
Source: RefSeq, a predicted model, not a curated record
CCAAUACCCUUGUUUUAAAGGCUUUAAUGAAAACUACCCAUCCGUUUCCAACCUUUUUUGUUUUACCCUUCUAUUUUUAAAUAUCCCCACAUUACCCUUUUCAAAUGUGAAAAGGAAGAAUGAAGAUGUAAGGUUACGCCAUUUUCCCCCUAAACGGAGCACGAAGAAGAAGAGGAAGAGGAAGAGAAAGUGAGAGAGAAUGGCGAAGCGUUUUGGGAAAAUCAGAGUUCUUCAGGAGGAGAAGAGAGUGGAGGAAGCAUCCAAGGCUCAGCAAUCAGCUCUGCCAUGCCCUUCUCGGUCUUGUCCUCGGAGUUGGCGAGCAAGUCUACAACAAACUCCUCCUUCCUCUUCUGCUUCUUCUUCUUCUCAACACUCUUCCCAUUCCUCUGCUUCUCACUGACUCACUGAGACAACUAAAACAAUAACCUCAUCAGGAUGAUGGAUCUGUUGUAUGUAUAUUUUCUCUUUCUGGAAGUAAUGCCAAGAUGGACAUUUAGCUGCUGGUCGUAAUGGUGUAAAGCGCCUAAGAACUAUAAGUUCUCAUCUGUUUUACUCUUUGAUGUGGUCAGACAUCCAAAUAUUUUAUCAUUCCUUUAUAGUAUGGAGACUAAAACUUUUCAUGGUAAUACGACAAAGGUUGCUAUCUAUAUUGUCAUGGAACCUGUUGUUCCACUAUUAGAAAAGAUCAAGGAACUAAAUUUGGAAGGUACAUAAAGGUAUAAACAAUCUGUUCUUCCUGGCUGAUAUUGGUUGUUUGAUUGGAUUAAUCUGAUUGCAUGAUACAUGUAAUUCUUCUUGUGCUAAAAAAUGUUUAAGGUACUUGCACUAAUGGUGAUAGCAUAUGAAGAAUCUUGGAGAAUUUAAAACUACUCUUUGACUUUUUCUUUUGAAAAUGGGAAAUCUAAAUCAAUAUUAGCCACCCGUUUAGUAGGUUGUUGGAAACUCUUCCUGGCCAACUUGGUUUCUUCGAUUCAUUUAGUGAAUUUGUUCUAUCAGUGUGAUGUUAACUUUUGUUUUAGUGCUUCUCUUUAUUUAAAAAUUGAAAUUUCCAUCCAAAUGUAAACAGUAACACGUAAUAUCUUUUGGUUUCUUUGUAUGAUUGUGCAUAUAUAGGACGUGCCAAUCCUGUUUAUCACCGUCUUGAACAAUUUUGUAAUGAUCCUAUUCAGAAUGAUUUUCAAUGGUUUGGCUAGGAAUAUAGAUUGAAGAAAAUGGAUAGGAAAGUGAAGAAAAUGAAAAGAUUUGUCGCUGCUACAACACAACUAUUACAAGAGCAGGAAGUGCUGAUGAAGCUUGAGCAAACUCUGAGGAGAAUACAAGUCAAUGCUCAGGUAGAUCGUGUGAACUUGCUUGAGUUCCAGCAGAUGGUGAUGUGCCAACAUCAAGAAAUGAGAAAUUUAAAAGAUUUGUGUCCAUGGAAUAGAACUUUCAUGCGGAUGAGUCAUGUUGCACCUUUUAAAGGAUGCAUGGUGGGUGGAAUUGAUUCUUCCGUUGAAGAGAUAUGCAAGCCAACCAUUGGUGGUUCAAUGCAGUUGAGAAAUGUUAGUAUUGAAUUGCUUGUGAGUCAAGUCUUCCACAAGGCUAUUUAUUGUUCACAAAAGAGAAUUAAAGCCAUAAAUUUCCACUUCAUUCCAUUAAAGCUGUUUUAACCAUCUAGUUUGACAUUUUUUUUUCUUUUUUUCAAAGGCAAAGCUUCCAAUGGUAUUGAGUUACUUUCAUGGCUUUUGAAAAAUUCUUUUAUUUGUUGAUAUGGUGGAUGAAUUCAGGUCCAAUAGCCGUUUUCUUAUGAAGCAUAUACUUUGUCUUGUACUAUGCAAUUA